AGAGCGAACGCUGGCGGCAGGCCUAAUACAUGCAAGUCGAACGGACCCUUCGGGGUUAGUGGCGGACGGGUGAGUAACACGUGGGAACGUGCCCUUUGGUUCGGAACAACUCAGGGAAACUUGAGCUAAUACCGAAUGUGCCCCCUCCUUUGAUUAGGGGGGUGGGAAAGAUUUAUCGCCAUUGGAGCGGCCCGCGUCUGAUUAGCUAGUUGGUGGGGUAAAGGCCCACCAAGGCUACGAUCAGUAGCUGGUCUGAGAGGAUGAUCAGCCACACUGGGACUGAGACACGGCCCAGACUCCUACGGGAGGCAGCAGUAGGGAAUCUUGCGCAAUGGGCGAAAGCCUGACGCAGCCAUGCCGCGUGAAUGAUGAAGGUCUUAGGAUUGUAAAAUUCUUUCAGCGGGACGAUAAUGACGGUACCCGCAGAAGAACGCCCGGCUAACUUCGUGCCAGCAGCCGC
Molecule: ribosomal RNA, 460 nt
Filed under: uncultured bacterium
Lineage: Bacteria
Description: SSU rRNA
Rfam family: Bacterial small subunit ribosomal RNA
Source: RNAcentral